AGGUCUGUUACGACUGAUAUUUAUCAGCUAUAUCAGCAGGUGCCCACUAGACACUUGGAUGGUAGUUGGGUUUGAAAGUUUAGGGUGCACUUGAGGGUGAGUCUCUUCCUUUGAAAGAUAGCCUAGAGAUGACUUCCGAUCAGAGUCACCCUUAGGAGGAGAGGUUUGGAUAUCUAGUCAGUCUGCACCUAUUAUGUUAUGGAGGAGGAGAUGAUGGCACAUUCCCUCUUUUGGUGUCCACGAGCUAGAGAGGUAUGGAGGCUGGUUGGAUUUCACCAUCAGAUUGAAUAAGUUGAGAAUCCUAUUGGGGCUUUCUUAGACAUGUUGAGAUCGAGAGUGGAGGGUAUUUUAUCUCAAGAUGC
RNAcentral lists this long non-coding RNA (362 nucleotides) under Elaeis guineensis (African oil palm). RNAcentral's name for it is "long non-coding RNA (EGUI_LNC053749)". The record is from RNAcentral. Lineage: Eukaryota; Viridiplantae; Streptophyta; Magnoliopsida; Arecales; Arecaceae.